Molecule: ribosomal RNA, 342 nt
Filed under: uncultured bacterium
Lineage: Bacteria
Description: bacterial SSU rRNA
Rfam family: Bacterial small subunit ribosomal RNA
Source: RNAcentral
GCGUAGGUGGGUUGGUAAGUCAGUGGUGAAAUCUCCGAGCUUAACUUGGAAACUGCCAUUGAUACUAUCAGUCUUGAAUAUUGUGGAGGUCAGCGGAAUAUGUCAUGUAGCGGUGAAAUGCUUAGAUAUGACAUAGAACACCAAUUGCGAAGGCAGCUGGCUACGCAUAUAUUGACACUGAGGCACGAAAGCGUGGGGAUCAAACAGGAUUAGAUACCCUGGUAGUCCACGCCCUAAACUAUGGAUACUCGACAUACGCGAUACACUGUGUGUGUCUGAGCGAAAGCAUUAAGUAUCCCACCUGGGAAGUACGAUCGCAAGAUUGAAACUCAAAGGAAUUGG